Oryza punctata is the source of this 200-nucleotide non-coding RNA. NCBI's taxonomy places the organism in Eukaryota, Viridiplantae, Streptophyta, Magnoliopsida, Poales, Poaceae. The record is from Rfam.
ACUUCGUCAAACACGUUUUUAUGUUCAACGUUUAAUCGUCCGUCUUAUUCGAAAUUUUUAUGAUUAAUAUUUUUAUUGUUAUUAGAUUAUAAAACAUGAAUAGUAUUUUAUGCGUGACUUAUUUUUUUAAUUUUUUCAUAUUUUUUCAAAUAAAACGAACGGUCAAAUGUUGGACAGAAAAACCGAUAAUUGCACUUAAA